Molecule: transfer-messenger RNA, 363 nt
Filed under: Salmonella enterica
Lineage: Bacteria; Pseudomonadati; Pseudomonadota; Gammaproteobacteria; Enterobacterales; Enterobacteriaceae
Also listed under: 3 other names
Description: Standard tmRNA
Rfam family: transfer-messenger RNA
About the family: Bacterial tmRNA, also known as 10Sa RNA or SsrA, is named for its dual tRNA and mRNA-like properties. Its role is to liberate the mRNA from a stalled ribosome.
Source: RNAcentral
GGGGCUGAUUCUGGAUUCGACGGGAUUUGCGAAACCCAAGGUGCAUGCCGAGGGGCGGUUGGCCUCGUAAAAAGCCGCAAAAAAAUAGUCGCAAACGACGAAAACUACGCUUUAGCAGCUUAAUAACCUGCUUAGAGCCCUCUCUCCCUAGCCUCUGCUCUUAGGACGGGGAUCAAGAGAGGUCAAACCCAAAAGAGAUCGCGCGGAUGCCCUGCCUGGGGUUGAAGCGUUAAAACGAAUCAGGCUAGUCUGGUAGUGGCGUGUCCGUCCGCAGGUGCCAGGCGAAUGUAAAGACUGACUAAGCAUGUAGUACCGAGGAUGUAGGAAUUUCGGACGCGGGUUCAACUCCCGCCAGCUCCACCA